This 591-nucleotide ribosomal RNA is filed under the name uncultured bacterium. RNAcentral describes it as "bacterial SSU rRNA". The stretch from base 1 to 526 matches the Rfam family "Bacterial small subunit ribosomal RNA", at positions 338 to 873 of the family's 1533-position model. The record is from RNAcentral.
CCUACGGGAGGCAGCAGUGGGGAAUAUUGCACAAUGGGCGCAAGCCUGAUGCAGCGACGCCGCGUGAGGGAUGACGGCCUUCGGGUUGUAAACCUCUUUCAGUAGGGAAGAAGCGAAAGUGACGGUACCUGCAGAAGAAGCGCCGGCUAACUACGUGCCAGCAGCCGCGGUAAUACGUAGGGCGCAAGCGUUAUCCGGAAUUAUUGGGCGUAAAGAGCUCGUAGGCGGUUUGUCGCGUCUGCCGUGAAAGUCCGGGGCUCAACUCCGGAUCUGCGGUGGGUACGGGCAGACUAGAGUGAUGUAGGGGAGACUGGAAUUCCUGGUGUAGCGGUGAAAUGCGCAGAUAUCAGGAGGAACACCGAUGGCGAAGGCAGGUCUCUGGGGCAUUAACUGACGCUGAGGAGCGAAAGCAUGGGGAGCGAACAGGAUUAGAUACCCUGGUAGUCCAUGCCGUAAACGUUGGGCACUAGGUGUGGGGGACAUUCCACGUUUUCCGCGCCGUAGCUAACGCAUUAAGUGCCCCGCCGNGGGNGACGCGCGAGACAACUAAUAGAGUGNGCGNGAGAGCGACGACGACGACGACGAGGAGAG